AUGCGCCCCACACUUGCGCGCGAAACCCCUUCCCUGGAGGAGCUCGGGCCUCGGAGCGGCAGACGAGCGAGGAGGUCGGAGGAGAAAGCACCGUGGCGGGCGUCCCUUCGUCACUACACAGCUUCGGGGCCGGUUGUUACCUGUGGACUGGUGCAUUCCUAUAGGAAAGAUGGAGAGCUUGAUAAGCUAGAGAGACUCCACAAGGCAGAAGUUACUUUUUUAUGGUGACUGGACAGCAGGCAAAUAUGAUGCAAAAGGUGUGCUGCGCUGUGGUGUCACAAUCCUCUAACAAGUCACCGGCACCUGCCUGGAAGUGGAGGAUGCCUUGCAGAUUGGUGGGACAACCCAGCCAUCAGUCAAGCUUAGGAAGCCAUCUGUCAGAAAGAAGAGCAUGCUGACUGUGGCUUAUGUUUUACAUUAUAGGAACUCGUUUCACUGAACAUGCACAAAGCCGUCAAUUUUAUCUUUGCAUCUGUGUGCUCGACUGUGGUCCCCAUCGGGUGUUGCAGCCCUGCAGCAAACCACCUGAACACGCCUGGGUGGAGAGAUGUCUCAUCAUACAUUGGUGGAACAAUCGGCUGUCAGACUUCAGGAGCAGUCUAUCCAGAAGAAGGGAAGAUGUUGAGUGGCUUCAAAUUGCUUGUGGGUGGAUAUAAUAACGGAGACUGGAGAUACAUUGGUUAACUGGCUGAUAUUUUAAGCUUUCCUUGUAAAUGUUUUCAGUGUUAUCUGCAUGUUUUGUUACAUAACUUAAUUCUGACAGGUAUCUUCAACAAAAUAUUCCCAACAUUGAGUGUGUGACCACUGUCUGGGAGGUAUCA
Long non-coding RNA from Eriocheir sinensis (Chinese mitten crab), 821 nucleotides. RefSeq lists it as uncharacterized. The record is from RefSeq and is a predicted model, not a curated record. The transcript is spliced from 5 exons. Lineage: Eukaryota; Metazoa; Arthropoda; Malacostraca; Decapoda; Varunidae.